Molecule: ribosomal RNA, 411 nt
Filed under: Actinomycetota bacterium
Lineage: Bacteria; Bacillati; Actinomycetota
Description: bacterial SSU rRNA
Rfam family: Bacterial small subunit ribosomal RNA
Source: RNAcentral
UCUACGGAGAGUUUGAUCCUGGCUCAGGACGAACGCUGGCGGCGUGCCUAAUACAUGCAAGUCGAGCGAGAAGCCACCGCUCCGUAAGGAGUGGUGGUGGAAAGCGGCGAACGGGUGAGUAACACGUGGGUAAUGUGCCCUGAACUCUGGGAUAACAGCGGGAAACCGCUGCUAAUACCGGAUAACCCUGCAGCGUCGCAUGACGCAGCAGGCAAAGCUCCGGCGGUUUGGGAUCAGCCCGCGGCCUAUCAGCUUGUUGGUGGGGUAACGGCCUACCAAGGCUCUGACGGGUAGCUGGCGUGAGAGCGCGACCAGCCACACUGGGACUGAGACACGGCCCAGACUCCUACGGGAGGCAGCAGUAGGGAAUCUUGCGCAAUGGGCGAAAGCCUGACGCAGCGACGCCGCGUG